GCCAAUCUCACGUGGUUCGUUGCGCGUUCUUAAAUUGGCGGGGCACGACGUGGAGGACUUUCGUAAAAACGUCACAACAGUGAAAUAAACUAUGGCGACAGGCGUCCAACAUGACCUGAUGAAGCAGGCACAGUGCUUUUGGUCAAUGCUGGAUGAGCUUGCAGAGACCGAUGAAGAUGCAUACAGGAAGUUCAUGGCCACAAACCUCUAAAGAGGACAGCAAGAAUUGACACCGGCCAAGCCAUGGAUGUGUGUUAAGACCCGUAUCAUGUAAUGGACGUGUGAACUCCUUCACUGCCACAGUCGGCUACAGAGUAACGCCUUUCAUGGGUUAAAGGAUUACUAAGUUGGACUACCGAAGCUGUCUGUAACUAAACUGUGCCCACAUCACCAGCGCUAAAUGGCAGAACCACCGGCUAAGAGAGUCAGAAGAGGAAAUGAGACACAAACUAACCCUGGUCCAAGCACAGCACGAGACAGUCAGGCAGCUGCAACCCAACAACUACCGGCUGAUGGAGUGAGGGAUGAUCAUGCGACUCAGUCCGGCAGCAGACAGCCUUCCCAGCAGGAACCAACAAAACAACCACCGCCGCAACUACAGCCAAGACUGGGUGAGACACAUACAUUUGUCUGUAAACCCUGCAUGUUAUGACUCCCCUGGCCCUGAUAUCGGUUCACUGACAGCAUCCUUCCCCUCCAUCCUUUGCUUUGACGCUAUUAGGCACAAUAUAUAGCAUAGCAGAGUCCCUGAAACAAGGGGGACCACACUGCAGACUAGCCCCUGUCACCACAUGGCGAAUUUUACUUACUAUCUGGAUGAAAGUGAAUUUUUCCGUUCAAUUCCGAGAACUCCCCUCGCAU
Long non-coding RNA from Patiria miniata (bat star), 861 nucleotides. RefSeq lists it as uncharacterized. Lineage: Eukaryota; Metazoa; Echinodermata; Asteroidea; Valvatida; Asterinidae. The transcript is spliced from 4 exons. The record is from RefSeq and is a predicted model, not a curated record.